CCUACGGGUGGCAGCAGUCGAGAAUUAUUCACAAUGGGGGAAACCCUGAUGGUGCGACGCCGCGUGGGGGAAUGAAGGUCUUCGGAUUGUAAACCCCUGUCAUGUGGGAGCAAAUUAAAAAGAUAGUACCACAAGAGGAAGAGACGGCUAACUCUGUGCCAGCAGCCGCGGUAAUACAGAGGUCUCAAGCGUUGUUCGGAAUCACUGGGCGUAAGGCGUGCGGAGGCUGGUUCGUAAGUCGGGUGUGAAAGGCGCGGGCUCAACCCGCGGACGGCAAUUGAUACUGUGAGACUAGAGUAAAGGAGGGGGAACCGGAAUGCUCGGUGUAGCAGUGAAAUGCGUAGAUAUCGAGAGGAACACUCGUGGCGAAGGCGGGUUCCUGGACAUUAACUGACGCUGAGGCACGAAGGCCAGGGGAGCGAAAGGGAUUAGAUACCCCAGUAGUC
This 446-nucleotide ribosomal RNA is filed under the name uncultured bacterium. RNAcentral's name for it is "partial 16S ribosomal RNA". It matches the Rfam family "Bacterial small subunit ribosomal RNA", at positions 338 to 795 of the family's 1533-position model. The record is from RNAcentral.